This 72-nucleotide transfer RNA is filed under the name Anaeromicropila populeti. RNAcentral describes it as "Clostridium populeti tRNA". It matches the Rfam family "tRNA". Rfam says of the family: Transfer RNA (tRNA) molecules are approximately 80 nucleotides in length. Lineage: Bacteria; Bacillati; Bacillota; Clostridia; Lachnospirales; Lachnospiraceae. The record is from Rfam by way of RNAcentral. RNAcentral also lists the same sequence under 5 other names.
UGGGCUAUCGCCAAGCGGUAAGGCACAGCACUUUGACUGCUGCAGUCGCUGGUUCGAAUCCAGCUAGCCCAG